Molecule: long non-coding RNA, 2952 nt
Organism: Equus asinus (donkey)
Lineage: Eukaryota; Metazoa; Chordata; Mammalia; Perissodactyla; Equidae
Source: Ensembl
AUAAGCUGUUCGCUUGACUUCCCCUUCCAUCACAUUUUAAACCUUCUUGCAUCACCCCCCUUCCCCUGCAGGCAGGCCCCCAGUGGUUUGAAGGUGAGCUUUCAUGCUACUUGCCCUGUGUAAAAAGUCCAGACGUUUGGGCUGUGAGGGAAAAACCUAACUCAGAGUGGCUAAGAAAGACAUUUAUUGGUCAACAGCUCAGAAGUCCAGGGCUGGCUUGACUCAAUGACGUCAGCAGGACUGGGUCCGGGUCACCCGUCUCUCUGCCCCGCCUCCUUCAGUACUGGCUCCUUGCAGGGAGCCUGCCCCUAGAGGUGGCUGUGAGUUGGUUGCCGGCAGCUCAGCUUGCACCCUGUCCUCUCAGCAGCCCAGGUGACAGACGCCCUGAGAAUGGCAUGACAGGACCAGCUGCCCAUCCUGGACUGCUGCUCGUCAGAGGUCCCCAAAGGCAGAGACGCAACAACCAAGUCUUCUCCUCAACUAGAUGUGACUUCCGGUCAGCAUUUUGCCAGUGAGCAGUGUGGGGUGCAAAAAGACGGAAGACCCAACUCAAACUGGCUUGAACAACAGAGAGAGUGUGCCGGCCCAGGAGCUGGAAACAACCAGCAGGAGCUCUGAUCUUGGACAAGGCGUGAGCCCCACCACGGAGGCGCAUCUCGCACCUUCCCCCAUGUUGCAGGAUGCCAGAGGGCAGCCCUCCCUUCCUCUCCACCGCUCAGCUCCUCAGGCCUUGUCCUGUGCCAUCCAGGGAGGGCCUCUUGGGCAGAAGAGAGAGGCUUUCUGUCUACUGGGAAGCUCCGCAAAUGGCCCCUCAGGUUACAUGGGCCUGAAGUAAGGGCAGAGGAACAAGCUAAAUGGCUUAGGCCAAUGAGGGUCUGCUCCUCAAAUAGCAGGUGGGGGAACCCACCCAACCAGCAUACCUGGCCACUAAUGGCGGGCUUCCCAAAGGAAAUUUAGGGACCUAAACUUUGGGGUGGGGAAUGGAUAUUGGCGCCAUAUUUGCCUGCCUCUAAUGUUUACCUCAGCAGUCACAUUGACUCUAUCCUGGCCAGUGAUGGACAAUCCAUAUUGAUGAUCGAUUGGCUCCCACUGGGAAACCGAUCACUCCCCCUCCGCUCCUGGGCUCAUCUGAUCUGUGUCAUUGGGUACAAUGAUAAACUCUGGAAAUAAAGCAAGAGGCAACCAAAGGAAAACUCCGAAAGCUGGGGAGAGAAAGGGGAACUAGUUAGGGAUCCUAGGGCUGGAGGAACAACAUGGCAGCAGGGUGUCUCCCUGCCCCUGCAUCCAACAGAAGGUGACCUAGGCCUGGCACUUCCUGAUGCCCAACCUGGCACUAGAAGACAGCCAAUGUAGGUUCAUUCUUGCCCCUUCCUGAUGGGCCAGAGAUUCUCCUCCCUCACUGACAGACAGCUGGGGUGAUCGGGUGGUGCCAAGAAAGGGAAUUACACCGUACAAAGCAGCCCAUCCUUGGAAGAAGCGCUCUUGGGCUCCGUGGAUCUGAGAUUCCCUUCCUUCACGUAGAGGCACCAGGAGGAGCAGCCUGAGGAAUUUUCCUCAGCCCCCUCAGCUAGCAGCAGGAAGGACCAUGGGAGCCCCAGGAGACUGGAAUAGUAUGAAAAAGGCUCUGAAACGAAAUUGUCAUUGGACCAACAGCCCACUAAACUAGGCCAGGAUCUGCCUGCUAAACAUAAACAGGGUGUGGGCCUGCUUAAAAAAUUAAAAAUAUUCAAAUAGGACUCAGGGUUUCCUAACAUAAAAGGCAAGAUGUCCAGAUACACUUGAAAAAUGCACUUCAUUCUAAGAACCAGGAAAACAACUUAAGUGAGAAAAUACAAGCAGCUGACACUAACGCUGAGAUGAAUGAGGUGGUGGAAGCACCUGACAAAGACUUUAAAGCCGCCAUCAUCAGAAUGCUUCAGAAAGCAAUCACAAAUUCCCCUGAAACAAAUGAAAGAAUAGAAAAAUCUCAGCAAAGAACUAGAAUAGAAAUAAAUAGGAAAGAAAUAGAAAUAGAAGUUAUAAAAAAAGAACCAAAUGGAAGUUAUAGAAGUGAAAAUAGAAAAACAGAAAUAAAAAACUCACAAGAUGGCCUCAGUAGUAGAAUGGAUAUGGUGGAAGGCAGAAUCAGAAACUGAGGAACGCACAAUAGAAAUCACCCAGCCUGAAUAACAGGCAGAAGAUAGACUGAAAAACUUCUCUCCUGUGAGUGAUGACUUUGAUUCACAAAUUGGCAGCAUCAACCACACUGCAGAGGGGUUGUUUAAUCAACUUAAGAGGACUAAUUAAAUAGUGACAAAUAAUUGGAAAAUUAAAAAAUUUAAAUAACAUCAUUUGCAAUAGUACCAAAAAAUACAGAGAGUGCAUGGGUCACAGAGGGUUUUUAGGGCAGUGAAAACACUCUGUAUGAUACUAUAGUGGUGGAUACACGUCAUCAUACAUUUGUGCAAACCCAUAGCAUAUACAAGACUGAGAGUGAAGGCUGAUGUUAACUAUGGACUUUGGGAAAUAAUCAUGUGUCGAUAUGGGUUCAUCUCUUGUAACAAAGGUACCACUCUGGUGGGAGACACUGAUUAUGGGGGAGGCUGUGCACGUGUAAGGGGGGGGGAAAAUGGGAAAUCUCUGUACCUUCCUCUCCAGUGUGCUGUGCACCUAAAACUGCAUUAAAAAAGUCUUUAAAAAAUACAGAGAAAUAAAUGUAAUGAAAUUUAAUUAAAAACUCCAAGAUUGUUAUUGUGAAAAAUUAAAAGAAUGCUAAAUAAAUAUUUAUGGAAUAAAAGACAAUACUUUUAAAGUCAGUUCUUUCCAGAUUGAUCUGUAGAGCCAGUGUGAUUUCAAUACUGAUUCCAGCAGAAUUUUGUUUAUUUUUAUUUUUAAAAUAAACUUCAUUCCAUGAUUUAUUUGGAAAAUUAAAGGACCCAAACAAUCUUGGACAAGAAUGCUCGUCACAGUUUA